Molecule: unclassified non-coding RNA, 20 nt
Filed under: Mus musculus (house mouse)
Lineage: Eukaryota; Metazoa; Chordata; Mammalia; Rodentia; Muridae
Description: oocyte_clustered_small_RNA9885
Source: RNAcentral
AAGCUCACCUACUUGCUGCA